Long non-coding RNA from Monodelphis domestica (gray short-tailed opossum), 288 nucleotides. RefSeq lists it as uncharacterized. Lineage: Eukaryota; Metazoa; Chordata; Mammalia; Didelphimorphia; Didelphidae. The record is from RefSeq and is a predicted model, not a curated record.
CUAGAACCCUACAUUCAAAUCCUAACCAUACUAUAUAGGCCUUAGACAAAUCAUUUAAUUUCCAUGGGUUUUGGUUUCAUCAUUCAUGUUGUUUGGAUACAAGAUCAAGUUUGUCAAGUCCCAAGAUAAAACUCAGGUUCUCCAAUUGCUGCAGAUAUUGGCAGUUUGUUCCCUGAGCGUGGAAUAAAGAAGUACCACAAUCAGCCACACUAAGCUAUCAACAAAAGCUAUCAGCAUACUAAGCUAUCAACAAAAAGUAUGGCAACAAGUAAAUCUGGCUAAUGAUAA